Tupaia belangeri chinensis (Chinese tree shrew) is the source of this 6741-nucleotide RNA transcript. It is a transcript of the gene named mediator complex subunit 1, with no coding region annotated. Lineage: Eukaryota; Metazoa; Chordata; Mammalia; Scandentia; Tupaiidae. The transcript has 19 exons. The record is from RefSeq and is a predicted model, not a curated record.
UCUCGCGAUCUUUGCGAAGUUCCGUUGAGGAAGAUGGCGGCGGCCGCGAGCACCCUUCUCUUCUUGCCGCCGGGGACUUCAGACUGAGCCUUCCUGGGAAAAGUGGGGAACAUUGGUGCCCUGCGUCCCGGGAGCCCAAGGCAGCUGGGUUCCCCGUUGUUUGUGGGGAAGGGCAUAUCUUCUUGUGGCGGAUCCAAGUCCUCCCCGCCGUCAGGAUGAAGGCUCAGGGGGAAACCGAGGAGUCGGAAAAGCUGAGUAAGAUGAGUUCUCUCUUGGAACGACUCCAUGCAAAAUUUAACCAAAAUAGACCUUGGAGUGAAACCAUUAAGCUUGUGCGUCAAGUCAUGGAGAAGAGGGUUGUGAUGAGUUCUGGAGGGCAUCAACAUUUGGUCAGCUGUUUGGAGACAUUGCAGAAGGCUCUCAAAGUAACAUCUUUACCAGCAAUGACUGAUCGCUUGGAGUCUAUAGCAAGACAGAAUGGACUGGGCUCUCAUCUCAGUGCCAGUGGCACUGAAUGUUACAUCACGUCAGAUAUGUUCUAUGUGGAAGUGCAGUUAGACCCUGCAGGACAGCUUUGUGAUGUAAAAGUGGCUCACCAUGGGGAGAAUCCUGUGAGCUGUCCAGAGCUUGUACAGCAAUUAAGGGAAAAAAAUUUUGAUGAAUUUUCUAAGCACCUUAAGGGUCUUGUUAACUUAUAUAACCUUCCAGGAGACAACAAACUGAAGACUAAAAUGUACUUGGCUCUUCAGUCCUUAGAACAAGAUCUUUCUAAAAUGGCAGUGAUGUACUGGAAAGCAACUAAUGCUGGACCCUUGGAUAAGAUUCUUCAUGGAAGUGUUGGUUAUCUCACUCCAAGGAGUGGGGGUCAUUUAAUGAACAUAAAGUACUAUGCCUCUCCGUCUGACCUGCUGGAUGAUAAAACUACAUCUCCCAUCAUUUUGCAUGAGAAUAAUGUUCCUCGAUCUUUGGGCAUGAAUGCAUCAGUAACAAUUGAAGGAACAUCUGCUAUGUAUAAACUCCCAAUUGCACCAUUAAUUAUGGGAUCACAUCCAGUUGAUAACAAAUGGACUCCUUCCUUCUCCACAGUCACCAGUGCCAACAGUGUUGAUCUUCCUGCCUGUUUCUUCUUGAAAUUUCCUCAACCAAUCCCAGUAUCUAGAACAUUUGUUCAGAAACUGCAGAACUGCACAGGAAUUCCAUUGUUUGAAACUCAACCAACUUAUGUACCCCUGUAUGAACUGAUCACUCAAUUUGAGCUGUCAAAGGACCCUGACCCUGUACCUUUGAAUCACAAUAUGCGGUUUUAUGCUGCUCUUCCAGGUCAGCAGCACUGUUAUUUCCUCAACAAGGAUGCUCCUCUUCCAGAUGGCCGAAGUCUGCAGGGAACUCUUGUUAGCAAAAUCACCUUUCAGCAUCCUGGCCGGGUUCCUCUCAUCCUAAAUCUGAUCAGACAUCAAGUGGCCUAUAAUACCCUAAUUGGAAGCUGUGUGAAAAGAACUAUUCUGAAAGAAGAUUCUCCUGGGCUCCUCCAGUUUGAAGUCUGUCCCCUAUCAGAAUCUCGUUUCAGUGUAUCUUUCCAGCACCCAGUGAAUGACUCCCUGGUGUGUGUGGUGAUGGAUGUGCAGGACUCGACACAUGUGAGCUGUAAACUCUAUAAAGGGCUUUCAGAUGCACUUAUCUGCACAGAUGACUUCAUUGCCAAGGUUGUUCAAAGAUGUAUGUCCAUCCCUGUGACGAUGAGGGCUAUUCGGAGGAAAGCUGAAACCAUUCAGGCCGACACCCCAGCACUGUCCCUCAUUGCAGAGACAGUUGAAGAUAUGGUGAAAAAGAACCUGCCCCCGGCUAGCAGCCCAGGGUAUGGCAUGACCACAGGCAACAACCCAAUGAGUGGUACCACUACACCAACCAACACCUAUCCGGGGGGUCCCAUUACCACCUUGUUUAAUAUGAGCAUGAGCAUCAAAGAUCGGCAUGAGUCGGUGGGCCAUGGGGAGGACUUCAGCAAGGUGUCUCAGAACCCAAUUCUUACCAGUUUGUUGCAAAUCACAGGGAACGGGGGGUCUACCAUUGGCUCGAGUCCGACCCCUCCUCAUCAUACGCCGCCACCUGUCUCUUCGAUGGCCGGCAACACCAAGAACCACCCGAUGCUCAUGAACCUUCUUAAAGAUAAUCCUGCCCAGGAUUUCUCAACCCUUUAUGGAAGCAGCCCUUUAGAAAGGCAGAACUCCUCUUCUGGCUCACCCCGGAUGGAAAUGUGUUCGGGGAGCAACAAGACCAAGAAAAAAAAGUCAUCAAGAUUACCACCUGACAAACCCAAGCACCAGACUGAAGAUGACUUUCAGAGGGAGCUAUUUUCAAUGGAUGUUGACUCACAGAACCCUAUCUUUGAUGUCAACAUGACAGCAGACACGCUGGAUACACCACAUAUUACUCCAGCUCCAAGCCAGUGUAGUACUCCCCCAACUACUUACCCACAACCAGUACCUCACCCCCAACCCAGUAUUCAAAGGAUGGUCCGACUAUCCAGUUCAGACAGCAUUGGCCCAGAUGUAACUGAUAUUCUUUCAGACAUUGCAGAAGAAGCCUCUAAGCUUCCCAGCACUAGUGAUGAUUGCCCACCCAUUGGCACUCCUGUUCGAGAUUCUUCAAGCUCUGGGCAUUCUCAGAGUGCUCUCUUUGACUCUGAUGUUUUUCAAACUAAUAAUAAUGAGAAUCCAUACACUGAUCCAGCUGACCUUAUUGCAGAUGCUGCUGGAAGCCCCAGUAGUGACUCUCCUACCAAUCAUUUUUUUCCUGAUGGAGUAGAUUUCAAUCCUGAUUUAUUGAACAGCCAGAGCCAGAGUGGUUUUGGAGAAGAAUAUUUUGAUGAAAGCAGCCAAAGUGGAGAUAAUGAUGAUUUCAAAGGAUUUGCAUCUCAGGCACUAAAUACUUUGGGGGUGCCAAUGCUUGGAAGUGAUAAUGGGGAAACCAAGUUUAAGGGCAAUAGCCAAGCUGACACAGUUGAUUUCAGUAUUAUAUCAGUAACUGGUAAGGCUCUGGGUCCUGCAGAUCUCAUGGAGCAUCACAGUGGUAGUCAGAGUCCUUUAUUGACCACUGGGGACUUAGGGAAAGAAAAGACUCAAAAGAGGGUUAAGGAAGGCAAUGGCACCAGUAAUAGUAGUUUGUCAGGGUCGGGAAUGGACAGCAAACCAGGGAAGCGCAGUCGGACCCCUUCUAAUGAUGGGAAAAGCAAAGAUAAGCCUCCAAAGCGGAAGAAAGCAGACACUGAGGGAAAAUCUCCAUCUCAUAGUUCUUCUAACCGACCUUUCACCCCCCCUACCAGUACAGGUGGAUCUAAAUCUCCAGGCAGUUCAGGAAGAUCUCAGACUCCCCCAGGUGUUGCCACACCUCCCAUUCCAAAAAUCACUAUUCAGAUUCCUAAGGGAACAGUGAUGGUGGGCAAGCCGUCCUCUCACAGUCAGUAUACCAGCAGUGGUUCCAUGUCUUCCUCAGUAAGCAAAAGCCACCAUAGCCAUUCUUCCUCCUCCUCUUCCUCGUCUUCUGCUUCCACCUCAAGCAAGGUGAAAAGCAGCAAAUCAGAGGGUUCUUCAAGUUCCAAAUUAAGUAGCAGUAUGUAUUCUAGCCAAGGGUCCUCUGGAUCCAGCCAGUCCAAAAAUUCAUCCCAGUCUGGGGGGAAGCCAGGCUCCUCUCCCAUUACUAAGCAUGGACUGAGUAGUGGCUCCAGCAGUACGAAGAUGAAACCUCAAGGGAAGCCAUCAUCUCUUAUGAACCCUUCUUUAAGUAAACCAAACAUAUCCCCCUCUCAUUCAAGGCCAACUACAAGCUCUGACAAACUUGCCUCUCCAAUGAAGCCUGUUCCUGGGACUCCCCCAUCUAAAGCCAAGUCCCCUAUCAGUUCAGGCUCUGGUGGUUCUCAUAUGCCUGGAACUAGUUCAAACUCUGGCAUGAAAUCAUCUUCAGGGUUAGGAUCCUCAGGCUCAUUGUCUCAGAAAAAUCCUCCAUCAUCUAAUUCUUGUACAGCAUCUUCUUCCUCCUUUUCCUCAAGUGGCUCUUCCAUGUCAUCCUCUCAGAACCAGCAUGGGAGUUCCAAAGGGAAAUCUCCCAGCAGAAAUAAAAAGCCGUCCUUGACAGCUGUCAUAGAUAAACUGAAGCAUGGUGUUGUCACCAGUGGCCCUGGGGGUGAAGACCCAAUGGAUGGCCAGAUGGGGGUGAGCACAAAUUCUAGCCAUCCCAUGUCCUCCAAACAUAACAUGUCAGGAGCAGAGUUCCAGGGCAAGCGUGAGAAAAGUGAUAAAGACAAAUCAAAGGUUUCCACUUCGGGGGGCUCAGUAGAUUCUUCUAAGAAGACCUCAGAGUCAAAAAAUGUAGGAAGCACUGGGGUGGCAAAAAUUAUCAUCAGCAAGCAUGAUGGAGGCUCCCCCAGCAUUAAAGCCAAAGUGACUUUGCAGAAACCUGGGGAAAGUAGUGGAGAAGGGCUCAGGCCUCAGAUAACCUCCUCCAAAAACUAUGGUUCUCCACUUAUCAGUGGUUCUACUCCAAAGCAUGAGCGAGGCUCUCCCAGCCAUAGUAAGUCACCAGCAUAUACCCCCCAGAAUCUGGACAGUGAAAGUGAGUCAGGCUCCUCUAUAGCAGAGAAAUCUUAUCAGAACAGUCCCAGCUCUGAUGAUGGUAUCCGACCACUUCCAGAAUACAGCACAGAGAAGCAUAAGAAGCACAAAAAGGAAAAGAAGAAAGUAAAAGACAAAGAUCGGGACCGGGAACGGGACAAAGACCGAGACAAGAAAAAAUCACAUAGCAUUAAACCAGAGAGUUGGUCUAAGUCACCCAUCUCUUCUGAUCAGUCUUUGUCUAUGACAAGUAACACAAUCUUAUCUGCUGAUAGGCCCUCAAGGCUCAGUCCUGACUUUAUGAUUGGGGAGGAAGAUGAUGAUCUCAUGGAUGUGGCCCUGAUUGGCAAUUAGGGACCUUAUUUUUUAAAACAAACAUGACCAGAGGAAAAAUGAGUUUAUAGGCAAACUGCCAGAAGGGGUGAGACAUAGGUCUGAUUUGUGCAUAAGAAUCUUAAGUGGCAUGUCUUUGACACCAAGUUGAGUGAGUUUAGAAAGGCAUAUCCAGACCCUACUAAAGAAACCAGAGGGUUUAAUUAUGGUUACCAAGAAUUCGUUGUUCUUUUGCUAGAAAGAAAUGUUAAACUUAACAAAGGGAAGGGGUGGGUGGUAGGGGCACAGGGAGAUGGAAGGGUGGGAAACAAUUUUGUGGGAAAUAUUCAUGUAUAUUUUUUCUCCCUUUUUCCAUUUUUAGGCCCUGUUUUAAAUUCAUUUUAGUGCAUGUAAUUUGAAAGGGCUGGGCAGAAAAUGAAAAAGCAAUACAUUCCUUGAUGCAUUUGCAUAAAGGUUGUUCACUUUUGGGUAGUUGUCCAUUUGAAGCAUGGGCAAAUGAAGGACUUUGGUUAUUUUGGACACUUAAGUAAUGUUUGGUGUCUGUUUCUUAGGAGUGAUGGGGGAGGUAAGAUUAUUUUAGCUAUUUAUUUGUAAUAUUUUAACCCUUUUAUCUGUUUGUUUUUAUACAGUAUUUCUUUUUAAACCUAUGAGGUUUAGGGCUCAGAAUGAUAGAAGGUAGAAGAGCAAGGCUUAUUUUGUGGUUAGGAGCUUACAGCUUGUGCUGAGACUCUUAAACAUCAAGCCCAGGAGUAUUAACCCUCCUUUGGAGUUAAAUAGAAAAACCAAAACAAUUAUUUUUAUUUUAGAAUGUUUUUCAUUAUUGGGUUCAUACAUCAAAGGACUAUUAGGAGCAACCUCCCUGUGGAGGUACUGAUUUGUAAUAUUUUUCCUUUAAAAAAAAAAAAAAGCUGGGGUGGCUUUUUGGAAUGUAAACAUGUUUCUGGAUGUAAUAAGGUUUAAUGUGGGACAGCUUUCCUGACCAGUGGCAUGAAAACCAUUACAGAAUUAGUAGUUCUCCUAUUUCCACAAUGUGCCAAAAGUCUGCAUCCCAGCAUUUUGUUUGCAGGAGAACUGAUGCCAUUCCUAAAAGCUGGGCUCUUUGUUUUUCUUCAUUACAAGGAGAAGGAGUCCAGACUUUAAUCACUCCACUGUAUGCUCCCUGAGAUAAAACAGUAAAAAAUAUGCAGCCAUAGUUCACUUAAAACAAUUUCAAGCUCACUUGAAAUAAUGGGGGCCUGAAAUGCUAGGUGAGCAUGAAGAUAAACCCUUGCUACUAUGUAGCAACACAAUUGGACCUUUUUGGAGAUAAUAGGUCUGAGUCUGGAUUCUGCGGGACAUCAAUACGAAGCCUUCUCAUAAAUAUAGACAUCCAGGAGACCAUUUUGAGUGCAACAGAAGUUCUCAGUAUUUGGAGGGUCCUCUCAAAAUUCUGCGGCCUUACUUUGAUUUUGACACCUGCACUGUGCCAUUCCUGAUGAUUCCAUUCAGGAUUUGUAUCAGCGGGACGGAGCAUGGUCCCCAGCACAACUCUUCUGGAUUUAAAAAAAAAAAAAGCCAGAUCAAAGAAUCCCGAGUUAGGAUCUGGAUGAAGGAUAAGCCCCUGAAUUGUCGAUGGGCACACCCCACACACUGACCAAGCAUCUGAACUUGCUUAACAGGGAGCCGGGGCUAAACUGCUUCACCCUGCCUGAGAACCAGGGAGCACUGCAUUUCUCCACAGGGUGGAGGAGAAGAGACAGAAUAAACCAAGCCUGGGACACCUCCCUCCUGUCUAGGUGUACUCAUUCUCCUGUUUCAAAAG